GAUGAACGCUGGCGGCGUGCUUAACACAUGCAAGUCGAACGAUAUCCAUUAGCAAUAGUGGUGAAAGUGGCGAACGGGUGAGUAACACGUAGGUAACCUGCCCUGAAGCGGGGGAUAACGGCUGGAAACGGUCGCUAAUACCGCAUGAGUCCAUUGAAGCGGGAGCGAGAUGGAGAAAAUCAAGGUGCUUCAGGAGGGGCCUGCGUCCGAUUAGCUAGUUGGCGAGGUAAGAGCUCACCAAGGCGACGAUCGGUAGCUGGUCUGAGAGGACGAUCAGCCACACGGGAACUGAGACACGGUCCCGACUCCUACGGGGGGCAGCAGUGAGGAAUAUUGGGCAAUGGGCGGAAGCCUGACCCAGCAACGCCGCGUGAAGGAUGAAGGCCUUCGGGUUGUAAACUUCUUUUGUCGGGGAAGAGAGAGGACGGUACCCGGCGAAUAAGUCACGGCUAACUACGUG
This 460-nucleotide ribosomal RNA is filed under the name uncultured organism. RNAcentral describes it as "bacterial SSU rRNA". It matches the Rfam family "Bacterial small subunit ribosomal RNA", at positions 28 to 507 of the family's 1533-position model. The record is from RNAcentral.